RNAcentral lists this long non-coding RNA (433 nucleotides) under Mytilus galloprovincialis (Mediterranean mussel). Lineage: Eukaryota; Metazoa; Mollusca; Bivalvia; Mytilida; Mytilidae. The record is from RNAcentral.
CCUGAAUUGGUAAUUUUGAGGAAAUCUUGCUGUUUUUGGUUAUUAUCUUGAAUAUUAUUAUAGAUAGAGAUAAACUGUAAACAUCAAUAAUGUUCAGCAAAGUUAGACUUACAAAUAAGUCAACAUGACCGAAAUGGUCAGUUGACCCCUUUAGGAGUUAUUGCCCUUUAUAGUCAAUUUUUAACCAUUUUUCAUAAAUCUAAGUAAUCUUUUACAAAAAUCUCCACUGAAACUACUAGGCCACAAUCAUCUUUGGGGUAUCUGUUUGAAAAAUGUGUCCGAUGACCUGGCCAUUCAACCAAGAUGGCCGUCACGGCUAAAAAUAGAACAUAGGGGUAAAAUGCAGUUUUUGGAUUAUAACUAUGAAACCAAAGCAUUUAGAGCAAAUCUGACAAGAAGUAAAAUUGUUAAUCAAGUCAAUAUCUAUCUGCCC